AGUGAACGCUGGCGGUAGGCCUAACACAUGCAAGUCGAACGGCAGCACAGUAAGAGCUUGCUCUUACGGGUGGCGAGUGGCGGACGGGUGAGGAAUACAUCGGAAUCUACUUUUUCGUGGGGGAUAACGUAGGGAAACUUACGCUAAUACCGCAUACGACCUACGGGUGAAAGCAGGGGAUCUUCGGACCUUGCGCGAUUGAAUGAGCCGAUGUCGGAUUAGCUAGUUGGCGGGGUAAAGGCCCAGCAAGGCGACGAUCCGUAGCUGGUCUGUGAGGAUGGUCAGCCACACUGGAACUGAGACACGGUCCAGACUCCUACGGGAGGCAGCAGUGGGGAAUAUUGGACAAUGGGCGCAAGCCUGAUACAGCCAUACCGCGUGGGUGAAGAAGGCCUUCGGGUUGUAAAGCCCUUUUGUUGGGAAAGAAAAGCAGCAGGUUAAUACCCCGCUGUUCUGACGGUACCCAAAGAAUAAGCACCGGCUAACUUCGUG
RNAcentral lists this ribosomal RNA (492 nucleotides) under uncultured bacterium. RNAcentral describes it as "partial 16S ribosomal RNA". It matches the Rfam family "Bacterial small subunit ribosomal RNA", at positions 29 to 507 of the family's 1533-position model. The record is from RNAcentral.